Molecule: long non-coding RNA, 306 nt
Organism: Rhodamnia argentea
Lineage: Eukaryota; Viridiplantae; Streptophyta; Magnoliopsida; Myrtales; Myrtaceae
Exons: 2
Source: RefSeq, a predicted model, not a curated record
AACAGAAGGUUGAAUCUGGUCUCCACAAAAGAAAGUGAAAGAAACACAAGGGUAGAAGGACUCAAGACGGGAGAUGGAAAGGUAGGUCCUGUAAACAUCAUAUCUAAACGUUAUAUAUCACUCAAAAUUUUUGCAGGAGAAUCCUGUCUCUCCAAAAAUAUAUCUAAAUACAUCAGUGUACUAAUACGUCGUUAACUACUUGAAAGAGAAUAUUACAUUUGACUGCUGGAUAUGGAAAAAUAUACGUAGUGCAGUGAAAUAACCAGCGAUGCUCCUAAGUAUGAACCAUGCCAGAAAUUGUAUUAC